RNAcentral lists this ribosomal RNA (287 nucleotides) under Pseudomonas sp. Its description in RNAcentral is "partial 16S ribosomal RNA". It matches the Rfam family "Bacterial small subunit ribosomal RNA", at positions 115 to 405 of the family's 1533-position model. The record is from RNAcentral. Lineage: Bacteria; Pseudomonadati; Pseudomonadota; Gammaproteobacteria; Pseudomonadales; Pseudomonadaceae.
GCCUAGGAAUCUGCCUGGUAGUGGGGGAUAACGUUCGGAAACGGACGCUAAUACCGCAUACGUCCUACGGGAGAAAGCAGGGGACCUUCGGGCCUUGCGCUAUCAGAUGAGCCUAGGUCGGAUUAGCUAGUUGGUGAGGUAAUGGCUCACCAAGGCGACGAUCCGUAACUGGUCUGAGAGGAUGAUCAGUCACACUGGAACUGAGACACGGUCCAGACUCCUACGGGAGGCAGCAGUGGGGAAUAUUGGACAAUGGGCGAAAGCCUGAUCCAGCCAUGCCGCGUGUG